Pongo pygmaeus (Bornean orangutan) is the source of this 1055-nucleotide long non-coding RNA. RefSeq lists it as uncharacterized. The record is from RefSeq and is a predicted model, not a curated record. Lineage: Eukaryota; Metazoa; Chordata; Mammalia; Primates; Hominidae. The transcript has 6 exons.
CAGAAUGAAUGCACUUGAGUUGAUUGAAGCACGCUUCCAUGGUCAUGAGCUCUGUGGUUGCAUCUGUGUGAUAGGAGCAUGCAGACCAAUAUGGAUCACAAUGGAUGCAUCAAGUGGGCUUCUGCUUGAUGGAAACCUGUAUUGCUGUUGCGUUUGGAAAGAAACUAAUAGCGAUAAUCUCGAGGUGAUUUAUGCAUUCUUCCAUGGCCACCAGCCUUAUGGCUGCAUCUCCGCGUUAGAGCUUAGAGAUCAAUAAUGGAUGCAGUGAGCUGUUUCAACCAUUCUGUUGGGAUCAAGAUUGUUGUGUUGCCUCUGUGUUUGGAAAGAGGCCAAGAAUGGAUACGCUCAGGUGAUUUAAGCAGUCUUCCAUGGUCACGAGCUCUGUGGUUGCCUCUGUAUAUUAAGAGCACAGAGAUUAAAAAUGGACCCACUCAAGCUGACUUCAGAAUUCCUCCUUGGUCACAAGCUUUUUGAUUGCAUGUCUGCAUUAGGAGCCUAGAGAACAAUGUGAGUAAUAGCUAAAGUUCUUAUCUUGUUUUGCAUAGUUUGUUUAUGGGCAGUCACUGUAUAAUUCAAAAGUGUGAAAUAUAAUCAAAGAAGGUGAGCUGUAGCUUAGUAAUAAGCAUGGGAUUUAUAUGAGGUAUUGUAUUUUUUAGUGUAUACAUGAAAUACUACAAUUAUUAUUAACAUAAGAGAUAUUGAAGUGAGAAUGAUUUUAAGUACAUGUUAGGGAUAUAAAUCUCUUGCAUUUUUGUGAAUCACAGAGUUUUAAAAUUAUAACUAUUAAAUUAAUGUAUAAAUAACUUAGAAAUGAAUUGAGGAAAAGUGGGCCCUCCUGGAUCAAUGAUAAAACUUGCUGACAUAUGAGUCUUGGAUAAUGGAUGAUACGUGUGUGGAACUCUGAGGUCCAACACAAAAGAAAGGUGAUUUUUUUUCAUGCACUUUCAUUCUAUUAUUGUAAUCAGAUCAAUAAAAGAAUCAAUGAACAAAAAUAUAAGUAAAUCGAGAUAAAAUAGAUGAGGCAUUGUCCAAAUAUAGAAAUAUGUGGCAAGGUA